AACCUAUGGUUAGGGCACCUUUUCAAUAAAUCUUUAUACCUCUUCAAUGCAUCAUAUAAAGUCUCUAAAUCCAUCUGUACAAAGGAAGAGAUAUCAUUCCUCAACUU
This is a non-coding RNA of Gossypium arboreum, 107 nucleotides long. Lineage: Eukaryota; Viridiplantae; Streptophyta; Magnoliopsida; Malvales; Malvaceae. The record is from Rfam.